This 107-nucleotide small nucleolar RNA is filed under the name Olea europaea subsp. europaea. Its description in RNAcentral is "Plant small nucleolar RNA R71". It matches the Rfam family "Plant small nucleolar RNA R71". Rfam says of the family: R71 is a member of the C/D box family of snoRNAs containing the C (UGAUGA) and D (CUGA) box motifs. Multiple nearly identical copies of this snoRNA have been identified in Arabidopsis, and it is thought to function as a 2'-O-ribose methylation guide for 18S ribosomal RNA. Lineage: Eukaryota; Viridiplantae; Streptophyta; Magnoliopsida; Lamiales; Oleaceae. The record is from Rfam by way of RNAcentral.
AUUCCAUGAUAUGGGCACUUUCGUGGCAUAUUUUUAAACCAAUUCCAGGCUUCAUCAAAGUUCUCUGAGUCACCUUGACAGAAAAAAGAUGUGUCAUGCUUGAGCUU